RNAcentral lists this long non-coding RNA (354 nucleotides) under Olea europaea subsp. europaea. Lineage: Eukaryota; Viridiplantae; Streptophyta; Magnoliopsida; Lamiales; Oleaceae. The record is from RNAcentral.
GAUUUUGUUUGUCUGGGCUGUGUCUCAGUCUCAGUGUGACUGAUCAUCCUCUCGGAACAUCUACUGAUCAUUGCUUUGGUAAGCUAUUGCCUCCAACUAGCUAAUUAGAUGCAAGCCCCUCCUCAAGCGGCUUCCUCCUUUUGCUCCUCAGCCUGCAGGGUAUUAAUAGUCGUUUCCAGUUGUUGUUCCCCUCCCAAAGGCAGGUUCUUACGCGUUACUCACCCAUCCGUCACUGGAAGCACCACUUCCCGUCUGACUUGCAUGUGUUAAGCAUGCCGCUAGCGUUCAUCCUGAGCUAGGAUCGAACUCUCCCUGAGAUUCAUAGUUGCAUGGUCUAUUGAGUUGCUUAAUGAG